Molecule: non-coding RNA, 15861 nt
Organism: Rattus norvegicus (Norway rat)
Lineage: Eukaryota; Metazoa; Chordata; Mammalia; Rodentia; Muridae
Source: RefSeq, a predicted model, not a curated record
UAAGAUAUCCAGGUGCUCCUGGGAGUAGACAGUGUUGGAGGUGAGAGGGGCUGAGGAGGGGGUUGAGGUUUGGUGAGUAAGCAUGUGCCUGAGCUUGCUGACACGUGUUGCAGCCCCCGUGUUCCCCUCCCUCCUGAUCCCCUCCCUCUUUUUUCUUAAAUUGUAUUACUGGUGUGUGUGUGUGUGUGUGUGUGUGUGUGUGUGUGUGUGUGUGUGUGUGUAAAGCCAACCUCAUGCAUUGUCUGUCCCUCAGGUACCAUCCACCUUGCUUUCUGAGGCAGGGUCUCACUGAUCUGGAGUUCCAGAAUUAGACCAGGUUGUUGGUCUAGGGAGCCCUGGGCAUCUACCUGUUUCUGCCCUGAGAUGGUUAGGGCAGGACCAUGACUGGCUUUUAAAAUGUGGGUUCAGGGGGUCAGAUUCAAGUCCUCAUGCUUGCAAGACCAGCCUGUUACAGAUGGGGCCAUGUCUCUUGAUCCGGGGUCAGUAUGUGCGGAAUGACUGGGGGCUGCGUUAGGCUUAAGGACAGAGGUGGGUCAGGAGCUCAGCCACAGCACAGGGAGACCAUACUGGAGCUGUGGUGUGUUCGUAUCAGCCCUUUUCUCUGCUCCUGCAGAGCUGGGGCAGGGGGCUGGACUAGGAUGCUGAGGAUGGCUCCUUAAAACCACAGCUUGUGUCUGUCUCAUGCCUUGCUCCUGGCUGGCACCCCACCUUUCCCCUGGCCCCAGCUGUUUCUGGGGCCCCUUUGUUCCAUGCUCCUUGUAUAGUUUCUCCCUGGAACUCCACUCUCAGUCAUGAUAUUAGUGCAGGGGGAGGGGUGGAUAGUGGGAUCCCCUACCUACUGUUUUCAAUACCUACUCCUCAAGGUAAUUUUUUUCUUCACCCAGCCUCUGACUUCCUGACCCCAGGAGGUGCAGCUGAGUGACAGUCAGCUUCCCACGCACCCCAGAUCUCCCACGUUUGAAGGCUUGUUUUGACUCCUGGCUUCAGCCAUUUCAGUAUAUGGUCACUUGGUCUGUAUGGGUACAGUAGGUCAUAGCGGGAAUGCACUGUAGAGGAUGUUGCUUACCUCAUGCAGCCGGAAGGCAGAUGCAGCAUCCCCUUCUAGGACCUGUCUCCCAUGACCUCACUUCUUCCCUACCAUGUGCCGUGGAGCCGGGUUCAGCUUGUGGGCCUCUGGCACAGUGUGUGGAUUGCAUCUCGAGGCUGGCAAACUCCCAGGGGUUGGGAGGCAGAGAGGUGGAGUUCUCUGAGUCUGAGGUCAGUUUGGUCUACACAGUGAGAGCCUAGUCCCAAUCCCCACCCCAAACCCCAACGACCAAAAAAAAAUAAUAAUAGCAAAAACAAAAAACAACCAACCAACCAAAAGAAAAAUCACUGUCUGGCGUACUCUAUGAUCCAUUAAUAAAAAUCAGGGUAGUAGCUUCAGCUUGGGUUCCAAUCACCCAACAUAAAUAGACCUUGGGAUCCACGCUCAGUUCUGAAUACACCGGGCACUGUGGGACACACUUAUGAUUCCCAGAACUUAGGAGAUAGAAGCUGGAAAACCAUAAGUUUAAGGUCACCCUCAGCUAUGUAGUGAGUUGGAGGACAGCCUGAGAUACACAGGGACACAGUCUUAUUUUGGGAAAGAGCAUCAGGGAGAAAAUGGGAGCUGUCACUGUACUACUUUAAACUGCCCCAGGAGUCACUUGCAGCAUUUAAUGCCAAACACUUCAAUCUAACUCCAACCGGACAUGACAGGACACAUGGCAGCGCCUAACAAGCUGGAAAGGUCUUGUGCCACCAGCUGGGGAUCAUGCGCUCAGAGCACGAGCUCGUGUGGGAUAUUUCAGACUGAAAUCAUCGCUGGCAGGAAAACUGCCAUCAGUAAGGCAGGGGCCAGGAUAGAACCAGAGAAGCCGGCUGAUGACCAUCCGCAGACACCAUUAGGAGCCUGCCGCCUUGGAGCGUUGUGGAUGACCUGAACUCUGGAACAUGGGUUGGGAAAUUCCCACCGUGGCCUUGCUGCGGCCCCCGGGGCCUUACAGGUUUCCAUGGAUUACCCAACUCUCGAGCUACGUAAUUCUGGAUCACAAAGGAGCUUCGAGUUUUGAGGUCUUGUGGUGACUUCCAGAUGUUCAGAAAACCAAACCGCCCACCAACAGCUGCAUCACUCACUCUCCACCACCUCCACCCUCCUUUGGCCUUUACUCCCCCCAACUCCUGUUCCAGAGCCCUACCCUUAGAGACUUCUCUGAAGGGCACAGACUACAUCAGCUCCCUUGGCGAGCCUCCGCUCAGCCUUGCCUCCCUGGACUUGUUAAAUUAUCCUGCCUUCUGACUAAAGUAAAAGAAACCCAGCACUCUCUGCUCACGUUCUGUGCAGGGUCCUCAUAGCAGCCAUGAGGCUGAGGCCAGCCUUGGUGAGGUGACCUCAGGAGGGCAGCUUUGAAGAGGAAGGCAAGCCUAAGUUGCUUAUUCAUUGGCAGACUAAUCAUUUGCUCAGAACUUCUGUGUGGGUUGCUUAGACUCCAGAAUGAAGACAUCAGGAUUGGGCUUUCAGUGGGGUAACACUCAUUGUCACCAGACACACAUGCUAUUGGCUCAACUUGGAACUGCUACAGGAGGCACCCAGAAGAGCCACCAGGAUUCCUAAUCAUUCCUGGAGAGACCCACCAGCGAUCUGGAUGAAUGUGGACAGAACCUUUUAGGGUGGGAGACCGAUGAGGUGUCCCGGCUUGGCUGAGCAAUCUGCUUGGCACGGAAGAGGACUGUGACUGAGCAUGCCCGACAGUAACUUCUGAACCCUGCUCCUGUAAAGUUAAUACUGGCUGCUCUUCAUGGGCCCAGUUGACGCUGUGUGGUGGACCUCCGUGUUCAUUCCAGCUUAAAUGUGAAACGCACUCCCCCACCCAGGCUCCUGUGUUUGAACGCUUGGUCUCCAGCUGGUGGUGCUGAGUAGAAACAUUGCAGAACCUUUAGGGGGUGAGGCCUCCACGGAGGAAGUGGGCCCCGGGGGAUGGGUUUUAUGAGUGAUACAUUGUAGCUUUCGGUCUCCAUGUUUCUUUGCUUUCUGGUGCGUCUCAGCUGCUGUGCGUCCUGUCACGGAGAACUCCACCAUACUCUUCCCUUCAUGGCGGACUAUGACUGUACCCUCUCAGACAGAGAGCCAAAGCACACCUUUCCUUCCCUCAGUGGAUUCUGUCAGGGGACAAAAGCUGCCAAUUCUAUGCUAGCCCCUCCAGGCUUAGGCAGCAAGAUUCCCACUCCGAGGAUGGUUUCUUGGGUUCUUCCUGUUCUCUUCUGCCCAUUUUAAUGGCUAGGAAAAUUAGAGGCAGAUAACCCUGGUCAAAUUCUUUUUUUUUUUGGUUCUUUUUUUCGGAGCUGGGGACCGAACCCAGGGCCUUGCGCUUCCUAGGUAAGCGCUCUACCACUGAGCUAAAUCCCCAGCCCCCUGGUCAAAUUCUUGAUGAGUAAGUCAGUAGUUCCCGUGGAUGUGGUGGUGGAGACAGACCUGGUGCUGCUGGUUAAAAGACGCAUGGCUCUGGCUCACUAUCUGCAGCACAGCUGUUAGCUUCCCUGCAGGGGCUGAUAGUGACGUGCAGAGUCAUGCUACCAUACCGUGGUGGCUAGAAAACAUUAACCAGAUCAUCAUAUUAUCUUGGUUGCUAAGGCUACAUAUUCCAGGCCUUGUUGUCCAGGCCUGUGAUCUUAGCACUCAGGAGGCUGAGACAGGGAGAUAUCAGGUUUGAGGUUAGCCUAGGCUACCAGAAUGAGUUUAAGGCCAACCUUGGCAACCUAGGAAAGGCCUAGAUCAAAACAAAAAAAUAAAAACAGGGCUGUGGAGAGCUCAUUGCUAAAGAAUUUGCCUGGCAUAAGGUUCUGGGUUCCAUAUCCAAUGCAGGAAAAAAGGAAACAAAAAAAAAUGCAUUAAAAACCCUUAAAAGCCACAAAUGAGGCCAGCCUUAUUUCACCAGACCCAGGGCCUGGAGGGAGCAGGGCUAGCCUCUCUUUUUAUCUGAGGACGAGCUUCUAGUCCUCAUUCAUUGGCUGCCUCUUAGUCCUUGUCUGAUGUCUCUAUCUUGUCUGCCUGGCCUGCGGUUCUGACACUGUGUUGGUCAGCGGAUCUCCAGAGGCAGCUGGAGAGAGACAGAUCAUGAGGGCACCACAGUACAGGCCACCUCCACCUACCAUCUUUGUUGGGAUUCUGGCCUGAGUUCAAAAUUGUGAGGGUCAGAGGAGCCCCUGCUGCGAACCUCAGCUCAAGGACAGGAGACUUACGGGAGAGUCCAGCCUUCUCAAGCUGCUGUUGGCAGACUGAGCUUGUUGGAUGGUUCUAACUCUGGUCUGUUGGCUCUUCCCAGGCUCUGGGCAGACUGGAUCAGGCUUCCUAGGGGGUGGGGGGAAGAGCACUUUAGGUUAAAUGGAUCCAGACACACCCAGAAAUGACACAUAAUUUGGACAUCUCAGGUGCAACUGAGAGGACAUCGGAAUUAACCACCAUGAUGACCUCCUACAGCAAAGACAAGAUUUGGAGUUUUCUUUCUUUUUAUUUUUCCUCCCUAUCCUUACUCUUUCUUCCCUUCUGUCUCCCUUCCUGUCCUUUUUUCUUUUCCUUCUUUCUUUCUUUCUUCCUCCUCCUCCUCCUCCUCCUCCUCUUCUUCUUCCUCCUCCUCUUCUUCCCCCUCCUCCUUGUCCCCCUCCUCCUCCUCCCCCUCCUCCUCUUCCUCCUCCUCUCCUCCUCCUUUCUUCUCCUCCUCCUUUCUCCUCCUCCCCUUCUUCUUCAUCAUCUUCUUCUUAGACAGGGUCUCAUGUAGCCCAGACUAGCCCUGGACUUGGUAUGUAGCUCAGGAUGCCCCUGAACUCCCAGUUCUUUUGUCUUCACAGAAAUGGCUCCAGGAUUGCAGGGCAACAUCAUUAAGCCUGGCCAGCAAAGUGACAUUAGUUUUAAAUAUUUUGGGUCUAGAAGUGGGAUCUGCUAGCUGGGGUUUUAUUUCUUAUUAAAAAGAAAAACAAAGGAAACGGAACCACCCCCUCAAACUCCAACAACCCCCCCAAACACCAAACCCUCCCCAGUGUGUCUGCAAAGUGGAAUCCCCAUCUUCCUGUGUAACAUCAAGAAUCUUCCCUCACCGCAGCCUGUGGAUCUGGGGCUGUUGCUGAUGAGGACUUUUAGCCCACCGCUUUGUGGACAUUGCAGUACUGAUGGGACCAUCCCCGUGGCCUCUGAGAGGCCAGACACUCAAGAUGUCUGUUGAGGGUGUAGAUGGCGUUAACAGCUGCCUGAGUUGCUGGGACUAAGGCAGAGUUUUCUCUGUGGUUCCCUCUGCAGCCAAACAGGACUCAGGGUGGUUUUACCAGGAAGACAGAUGAGCUUGGCUAUUCAUGACAGACUUGCUCCAUGGCUGGCUGUGUUUUACAGCCGCAUGGCCUCAUGUGAUGUGGAAGCCUUAGGUCUCCAAAUCGUCUUAGAAACGGUCUCAUCUCCAGGAGUUUUAAAUCAAAGCCGGCAGAAAUCUUGUCUGAGGUCGGGAGGGGCUGGUCCUUGGGUUGGGUGUGACUGAGUAGACAGGACUCAGGGGCCCUUCCCUUUGGGGAACAGCCUUGCCUCUGCGCUCUGGGCUUUGAGCUGAACUUGUGUUUAAAAAGAUGAAUCUCAGAUUAAAAAUAGCUGAAGAAUUACAGCCCUCACUCUGAGGGUCUUCAUCCUGGCUGUGUCCUGGAGUCCCUUGGCAGGAGGGUUAUAACUACCCAGGGAUCUCUGGGGGGAAUUAUAACCACCCAGAGCUUGACACCUAGAAUCCAUGACUCAGUGAGUUUGUGAUGGGGUUUUAGAAUCAGCUUUGUAAAAAAAAAAAAAAAAUUAAAUGAACAAAUGAAUGAAUGAAUGAAUGAAUGAAUAAAACUUUCUAGAAGAUUCUAAAUAUCACCAAAGUUGACUAAUUGAGUAUGCCAUUCUUUGUUGGAAAGGGAACUAGAGGCACCAAGAGGCUAGCGGCUCAUGUGGAGUCUCACACCACCUGCUCUCCGGGCUGGCUUAGAACUUUGAUCUCGUGGUUUAUUACCACCUUCGGGUUUUUGAGAUAGGCUGGCCUUGGACUUGUCCUUGCUUUUCAGGUUCCAUGGCACUCUCAUCUCGAGCAAGGAAGGUAAUAACCCCCCAGGAACUCGACUCUUCUGCAGCCUCGUUUUCACACGGGCAUACAUUUCCAAUCAGACGUUUGAGUUUCUGGAGGGAAAUAGAAACCUUGAGGCCAGAAAGCACAUGGGUAUUUAUACUGCCUCUGGGAAACAGGCUCUGGGGUCACACUGCACGACCCAAGACUACACAGAGGCACAGUCCCCAGAGGACAAGCUCCCAUACUCAGAUGGAGUAUGGCUUUAGCUUUAUAUGUGCUCAAUUCCCAUCCCGGGCCUGGGGGCUGGGGGGUGGGGGCCAUCCAGAUGCUAACUGGAGGAUGUAGACACACGGUCAACACUGGCAAAGGUUUCCAAGGCCAGUUUCAGCGCUGCCUUAUCCUUUGAGAACUGGUGGAGGGCUUUGGUGGUGCACGCCUUUAAUCCCAGCACUUGGGGAGGCAGAGGCAGGAGGAUCUCUGUGAGUUCAAGGUCAGCUUGGUCUACAGAGUGAGAUUCUGUCCCAAAAAGGAAAGACAAAAAACAAAAAUAAAUAAAAGAACUAAAAGGAGCCUCACACACAAGCGAACCCGAGGACUGGGUUCGAUAUAAACACUAAGCACAGUGGGGCAUGCUCAUAAAACCGGUACCGGGGAGGUGGAGACAAGGGAAUCUUGGGCUCGCUGGUUAGUUGGUGUAGCUGUAUUGAUGAGAUGCAGGUCCAGUGAGACCCUGUCCCAGAAAAUAAGGGAGAAUGAUAGAGACACGCACUGCGGCCCCACCUUCAUGGAUCCUUCUCCAAGGGAGUCAAGAUGCCGUGCGCAGGAUGAGCAGAGGGAGAGAAGGUUCCUUAUUGACGCUUCAGCUGAGCUCCUGGCCAACGGCCAGUGCUGACCACCCACCCAUCCAUGAGCAGUUGUCCUGGUUGUCCCCUUAGACGAUCCCUCUAACGCCUGGGAGCCAAAGGACCCUGUUGAACCUAAUCACCGGCCAGUCCCGAGCACUGAGAAAUGACUGUCGCUUGCAUUGUAUUUGUAUGUGUACACAGGGUACACAUGGGGUUCUAUGUACACAUGCAUGACCAUGUGGAGGUCAGAGAUAAUGUCAGGCGUCAUUCCCCAGCCUCCUUCUCAGGUCUCUCCACCCUUUUUGUUUUGUUUUGUUUUGUUUUUGAGCCAAGGUCUCACUAGGUAGACCCGGCUGGCCUGGAACUUAAAGGGAUUCAUCUGCCUUUGCCUCCUGAGUUCUGCGUUCAAAAGUCUGCGCCAUCACACCCGUACCCAGCUCUACCUGAGCCUGAAGCUCACCGAAUAGGCUGGGCUGGCUGACUGGUGAGCCCCAGAGGUCCUCCUGUCUCUACCUCCCUAGCUCAAGGUUUAUAAACUCGUGUGUCACCUUGCCCAGCUUCUCCCGUGGCAUUCGAACUCAGGUCCUCGUGAGUACAAUGAAUAUUUUACCAACUCAGCAGAACCUGGGAAACGUUAUGUUUGUUGAAUGACGUCGUUGGGGGGGUAGCUGCAGCAGACAAUGACAGUGAGUACCUUACUUGGCACUUCCUGUUUCCUUAAUGAUGUUAGGACCUCUACAGUGGCUGAGCCUCUGACUUUCCUUGAGCUUUGUGUGACAGUUUAGAGUUCUGCAUCUGUGCAUCUGAGAGUGGCUGCCCAUGAUUCCCCUGCACAACCCCUUAAUUACUCUACCCAUCCUAAGGGGUCAUGGGAAGUAGAAACUUCUAGUUCUUUGGAAAGUCAGUUACUCCAAAUGAUGGUUUGCUGGGGGCACACAGGUGAGAGGGUGUCUUGCUAAAGCAAACACAGGAAAGAGUGUUUUCCUGAAGCAGACACAGGUGAAAGGAUGUUUGCAUAGAACAAACACGUGAAAGGACCCGUGAUGAAGGAGUAUAAAUCUGACCCACAGAUAGUGAGACAAGAGCCUUGGUUUGCUUUGCUCUGCCUCACUAUUCUUUGCUAAAGACAUGCACGUAUGGCUUCGCCUUACAUAGCGUUGUUGAGCUCAGCUUGUGGUAACGCCGCCAUCAAGAGAAACUCGCCAAAGAACCUCUCUUGAGGCUCCUGCUGCAGCUUGCCACUUAAGCAGCCUCCGGCCGGUUGGCAAACCUGCAGUUUCUUCAGGAUUGAACUGUAGCUGCUGGCUUGUGUGUGGUGUCUGCCUGCUGAGAGGACUAAACUGUAGCUGCUGGUUCGUGUUUGGCAUUUGUUAUGGGACUGAACUGCUGACAAAGAUUGUGUUUGCCCCCAAAGAACUAUUGCUAAGCAGGUCCACUUCCCCCAUAGCCUAAUAACUUUUCUUGUCCACUACCCCUGGAGGACAGUGGGCAAGAGGAGAGGUUGAAUGCUUAUUAAAAGUAUGUUGCAAAAAAUGUAUGCCUACUGUCAUGGCCAACUGCACAUAGCCAGCUUGCCAUCUGAGCUAAUGGCACUAAGCUAGGCUCCUUGAAGCCAGAUGCAGGCUGUUUCCGCUGAGCUUACACAAUGGCCAACCAUGCUCCAGUCUAUUUAAAAUAUUUAAAACCUUUGGCUCUGAGACCUUGACUUCAUCACUAUCCUGUGGAAACCAAGGCAAAUCUCAUUCCUAAAAGUUAGAAACAGCAUGGAGAGGAGAGGAGGAGAGGACCAGAGACUGUCACAGGACCCUCUGCCGAGCUCACAGGGACUAUGGCAGACAGGGACGUGGCCCGUGUUCCUGGAAGCACUCAGGCCCCGGUCACACACUCUACUUUGAUUGUAAGUACGGGUUUGCCUUCGCUAAUGGCAGGCUUGGUUGAUGAGUGUUAGCAGAGCGUGCCUGGCCGGAGUUAUCUGCUGCUGUUGUACCCAUGGAUGCUGGCCAUUUGACCUCCAGCUCCCCACCGUCUGUAUUUCUGAGCUGAGAAUGUGGGGAAGCUAGUUCUGAUUGCUUACCUGGGAAGGCUGUCGUUAGUCCCCAUGGAUAGGGUCCUCUAGAAAAUGCCUGAAUCUGCUGGAGCUAUUGGGGGUGGGACAGGGCACGAAGUAUGACUGUAGGGCAAACCUGAGCUGAGGUGUGAUGCCCGUUCUGCAGUCUCUAAGGGUCUGUUCGCCAGAGCUCUGCUCCCAGACCCAUCUAGUUAAAGAGUGUCAUCCAUGGGAAGCCCACUCAUGGUGUAGAGGCAAUCUGGGUGUUUACAGGGUACUAAGCAAGGGACUCAAUAGGGAAAUAUGGUUCCCUAUCCAGGGGCCUGUGGAUGAGAAGAACUGGUCUCAUUCUUGAGCUAACUACAAUGUUCUUCCAUUUACCCCCAAGUUGCAAGGCAGGCCACCUGUGUGUGGAGGCGACUUACAAACACACAUGUGCACACCAUACAUCUACACACAUACAUGCACCUGUGACCCCAAACAUGGAGAUUUACUUGUUCGGAGACAAUGAAGAUACUGUGUGCUGGCCUCUGUGGCUCUGUGGCAGGUCAUGACCCUGUCUCCUUCCUGUUGACCCUACCGGGACCAUCCAUUUCUGGAGCAUCUUCAGUCAUGGGGGCUAACUGUGCAGUCUAAUAUGAACUGAGGCAUGGGGACUUCAAGCCCUGUGCCGAGGUUCUGCCAAUUCAAUCUACUUGAGGCGAAAUUUCAGUCACUGGAUGAGAGGGCUCCUUCCAGAGAUUCCAGCACUCAGGGGGCUGAGACAGGAGGAUUGCUUAGAGUUCUGCAACCAAAGCCAAUAGCAAAAGUAGAUUUAAAGAUAGAACAAACCAGAACACCAACAACAACAAGCCCAAACAAACAUAGACAAUUUGGACAAGAUCAGAAGCAACUUGAUGGAGACACCUCACCCCCACCCCCGGCAUGGUGCCAUAUGCCCUUCCUGGUGUGCAGGGCUAAAGCCAAGGCCUUCAUAGUCUGGCCGUUGUGUCUUGCAGCCCAGGAUUUAAGAUGCUUCAGACUUCUGUGUUUGUAGCUUUGGGGAAGGAACUUGGGGCUUUGCACACACAAGGGUGGGCACCCGUGUCCUGGCUGUGUGCCCUUCUGCCCUUUGCCAGGACCUGUUUCUAUGGGUGCACAGGCUUUGAGCACUGCAGCAAAUUUUCCAUCAUAUCCUCAGCCGAGGGUAGGCUCGGUCUUCCAGAGAGUUUUUUUUUUUUUUUUUUUUUUUUCUUUUCAGCCUUUGUUCUGAAGGAAGAGAGGUCUCUUCACGCAACACUCAGGCCUUUCCAAUGGCACCCUGUCCCAGAAGGCUCUCUUACAUCAGGUUUUCACAACCCUGUUUGGCCAUUGGAGGUCAGGCUGUUGUGGACAGGAGCCCUCAACAAGGCCCCUCCCAGGCUCUGGUUGUUGUAUGGAGAGAGCCACUUUGUUCAUGGUGUAGCCACUGGAGUCUGCGCUCCUGUGACCAGCCCUAGUUAAACCCAUUCAGUGAUCAAAAAACAAAGACAAAGGAAAAUAAAAAGUUGCCAAGUGGGAGGUGACAAGAGGGAUGACCAGAGUCAACAUGAUCUAAGUAUGUCACAUACAGGUAUGAAAAUGUCACAAUGAAAGCCAUGGUAGUGUAUUAAUAACAAGCUAUUUAAAAGAGAAAAACCUUUAAAAACAGCAAAGUAAACUGUUGUAAAUGAUAUACCUCGACUAGUCAGAUGGGAGAAGGUCAACCAGAAAGAUGCACCUAGUUUUAGGACCAAACUCAUCGAGUUAGUGCGUGCACGCUCAUGUGCACAUGCGUGUGCUGUGCUGGGGUAUGUGUGCUUACAGGAGCUUGGAGUCCUGGGAAAUGCACACUGGGCCGGAUGCAGGCAAGCAUCAGAGGAGACAUGCUCAGGUGUCAUUGGCAAUGGAUCUUUCUGACUGUACUCUAAACACAAGACGUCCUGUGAGGAGGAGGCCGCUUAUCUAGUCUAAUGUCGCCGCUCCCAUUAUGAAAAUUUGACUUUGUGCCAUUUCCUGUGAUGCGGGCUUCCACAGGGGGUGACGAGGGCAUGUCUAUUUUGGAUUCCUCCUUCAAAAACCUCCUGGUAUCAUGGAGAUCAACUGGCACAAACAGAGCCCCGAGAGUCUCUCUCACAGAAAGGCAGAGCGUCUAUCAAUGGGGCACACUUGAGCCAGGCGGAAGGCUCCGCCAGUGGCCGUUCCAUCAACUUUGGCAGGUGUAUACACUACGCCUUUGAUCUCAGAGGUUUGCCGAAUUUAGAUGACAUAACCCGUGUUUGGUUAUCUUUCUCCAAGGUAGAAGGGACGUAAGCAGAUAUCCACUUUUGCGAGAUAAAAUUAGCACUCCUUUGCUGGAAGGCAAACAUUGCCAGCAGGAAAGCACUGAUUAAAGUACAAAGCAGACAGGGGUACCGGGCUGCACCCUCUGAGCGAAACCCCUAUUUAUAGGGAUAGGAAAUGUCUGACAUAGGCAGCGAACAGAAGUCACCACAGCCUGAAAGACACAGCUCGGUAUUGUACACUCAACAUUCUGGAAAACAGAUUUGGUUCCUAAAGUCCUAAUCUGGGGUUUGGGAAAGAAAAAAAGGAACCGAGAUAGACGUUAGCCCAGAGCAAGGGGUUGCACGGUUGGAGCUCCUGUUCCCACAUUCCAGGACCCUGGGGAACAACUGUGCCAUUCAUUGGUUGCACAGAAGAUUGGCAGAGGAGAUGUGUGUGGGCAAUUCCCGGGGCUGCUCGCCCUGGUGUGAGGCUGGUCCCAGAGGGAAUGCCCUGUGGUCGUUCCAGCCAGGGCACCAAGGGACCCUGCUUAUCACACACCUGCCUCUCGCCUUGAUGGCUGGACCUUAGGACCAUGGAUGCACCCACUGGAGCAUCUGGUCUGGGAAGAUAAAAAUGAUUUGGACCUCCUUCGCUUCCCUUCGGAAGCCAGUUGCAGUGUUCUACUUCCCGCCUCCACAGUAACUUGCUUCCCACACAACCUGUCUUACUUCAUUGGGAGCACAGCCCGGUACAUUCAUGCUUUCUGUCUCCCAAACUAAUUUGAUGUAACAGAGGAGGAAGAGAAAAAACUUCUCUGCAAUUUCUGUGUUGAAAUUAAACAUGGACUUCAUAUUGACUCACUCACACACACACACACACACACACACACACACACACACACACACAUGCUCUCUCUCUUUUUCUUCUUUUCUCUUUCUUUCUUUUUUUUGGGGGGGGGCAGGGUCUCACUGUGUAACCAUGGCUAGCCUAGAACUGGCUACAUAGACCAGGCUAACCUCAGACUCAGAGAGAUCCACAUGCCCCAAUUCCCAAGAGCUGGGACUAAGGGUGUGUGUGUCACCAUGCCUGGUUUGAUUUUACUUUUAAUGACAUCUUCUAAGCCUUGUUUGGAGUCAACAAUAUUGUUCUAUUUCCAGCUUCACUGCAUUGGUGUCUGUCUCCCCUCUCCAGUACAGCAGAUCAACACAAACCUGCCUUAGUCACGGUUCUCACACCCAUGCGCAAAGUGGACCAUGCUCUCCCGAACCAUAGGAGACAGGGCGCAGGAGGGGCAUGUGUGCUGAUCACAUUUACAAAGCCGAUUUCUCCCGUCCUUCUGCUUUCCUGAUUGGUCUGCCUCUGCCUUCUCUGGUGAGUGUUUUCUCGUUUGCACAACUCUGGGCCAUAUCCCUUAUCACACAGGCCUUUCUUUCUUGCUUUGUGAGCUCUUGGAAUUGAGUUUUUACCUAGUCACUGGAAGCUGCCGAGCCCACGGAUCUCGGAGAUAAGGCUUGCUGAGGUCUUCAGCCUGGACAGUGUGAGCUGAAGGAGGCAUUGAGAUGAGACUCUAGUUGAACAUGCCACCCUUGGAUAAAACGAUGCCACUGAGAGAGGUCCAGGGCUGAGCCCUAACUUUAUACCAGCCGAGGCCUGGGUGAGCCCUGGACCCCUUGCAAACUUCAGUCAGUGAGGGCAAAUGGGUAACAUGUCCUGUGCAGACAUCACUAGCUAAUCUGUGCACUGUCAAGCCCUGCUGAGGCACAUCGCCCCCUUGUUGAGACCUCCCCCACUGAGUCUGACCUGCUGACACCCCUCCCCCUUGUUGAGCCCCCCUCAUUGAGUCCCCCCUGCUGACACCCUCUAAGGUUCUUACACACAGAGGCAUGGGGUCCUGGCUGAUGAGGUAUUAGGAUUACUCCUGGUGACUCUAUGGCACAGGGCAAGGUGGGAACUCUUCUGAGUCUCCCAUAAGGCUUCAGAGGCCGCUUGCCCUGAGCAGGUGAUACUAUUUCCUUCCACUCUGCUCCCAGAAUGCCCUUCCCUGCUUCCUGCUUCGUAUUUGUGGGCCUGGGCCCUCUCGGCCUUCCAAGGCAGGUGGAUCUCAGGAGAAGAUGUGCUCAGGGAGACGAGAAAGAGAGAGAGAGAGAGAGAGAGAGAGAGAGAGAGAGAGAGAGAGAGAGAGAGACAGACAGACAGACAGACAGAGAGAGAGAGACACAGAGAGAGACACAGAGAGAGAGAGAGACAGAGAGAGAGACACACAGAGAGACAGAGAGAGACAGAGAGAGACAGAGAGAGACAGAGAGACACACAGAGAGAGACAGAGAGAGAGACACACAGAGAGAGACACAGAGAGAGAGACACAGAGAGAGACAGAGAGAGAGAGAGACAGAGAGAGACAGGCAGAGACUCAGAGAGAGACAGACAGCGAGAGACAGAGACCAAAGAGACAGACAGAGAGAGAGAGACCAAAGAGACAGACAGAGAGAGAGAGACAGAGACCAAAGAGACAGACAAAGAGAGAGACAGAGACCAAAGAGACAGACAGAGACAGAGACCAAAGAGACAGACAAAGAGAGAGACAGAGACCAAAGAGACAGAGAGACAGACAGAGACCAAAGAGACAGACAAAGAGAGAGACAGAGACCAAAGAGACAAACAGGCAGACAGAGAGAGAGAAGAGAGACAAACAGGCAGACAGAGAGAAGAGAGAAGAGGGAGAAGCCAGAGAAAGAUCUAUCAGAAUGGAGAGGGGUGCCCCGUUUUUUUCUGAGGGUUUAGCAUUUGUGAAUUGUUUCUCUCCUUUUAAUUACGAAAGCUUGGGGACUUUAAAUGUAAGUGCAAGCUGGUGCAGAGAAUGGUGUGCUUGUCGACAUCCAGUGGCUAAGGAUUUAUUCAGCCAUUAAAGGAAGAAGAAUAUAGAGGUGGACUUAGGACUCAGCAUCGACACAAAGGGAAACAGGCCCAGGAGCGGCAAGUGACUUGCCCAGGGUUGCCCAGCAAAGGGGCAACAGACAAAAACAUACAUGUAAAAAUCAGUCUCUAUGGUAGUGGGUCACCCCAACAUCGACUUGCCACAUGUUUCUUUUGCUGAUCUUUCUAUUGUGGAGUGGCUGUCCCGAUUUUUUAAAGGUGAGCUCUCACUCCCUCUACCAUGUUUUUCAUAGUCUGGCUAGAAAACAAUGUGUUUUCUGACAACAGGAGCUGUCCCACCAGGCUCUCUGUUGCCCUACUAUGUUCACUAUGUUUGAGGAAACUGAGCUCCAAACAGGGCAAGCACCUGAGGCAAGGAGGCACUGCCUGGAAGAAACAGAAGUAGGAUUUGGUUUCAGGGGCUUCCAGACAUCAGCUCUCAAGCUCCCUGCCACCGCUUCCUGGCCUCUGAGUCAGGACCCUGGCUGGCUACAAGGAGAGCCCUAUGCCUGUCUGGGAGCUGGCCGCAGGAUGUGGGCUGUUUACUAUUCCUGGGGCUCACAGCUUGGCCUCCAUAUGACACUGGAGGAGAAUGGAUAAGAAGACUUUGAAGAAGGUGGAGAAAAGAGUUUUGUGUCCAAACAGACAUGGUGGGAGCCAGAGGAUGGGUGGCUAGAGUCGGGCGACUCCUGUGUCGUGCAGUGACGCUGUGUCAGGACCUGGUUCUUGCGGUGACACGGUGAGGCUUGGGGCUGACUGUGGGGCUCUUGCUAGGUUCCCCCGGGGGAGGCUGGAGCAUAGUGUGUGGUGCUCACCCUCCACUGGCACUUGAAGAUAUCUGGUCUCAGCCAGAUCCACUUACCCUGGCUAAGCCCCCGAUGCUGGGGUGUAUAUGCCACAGUCCUGCCUUUGCAGCUUAGCUAUUGGGCAUCUGAGAACGUAUGCACAGUUUCCAGUUCGGUUCCUGAGGCAAGAACCGAGGCUCCUGGACAGUAGCAGGCUAGUAUCCCAGGUCACCGUGGUUACCGCUUGCUGAGCACUUCCAAUGAGACACGGGCUUUUCAUCCCCUGUUCAUGCCCCUUGGUGACAGCUAUUAGUGGGCACUGUGAUCUCAUAGAUGGGGCAUCCCAGGCUUAGCAUGGCACGGUGACUUGUCCAGGCAGCAGAAUGUCCUGGUUUUCUCCAUAGCCAUUGAACUCCUGUCGCCACGUCCUGAGAUGUAGUCACUCCUUUCUUGCCUAUAGCCCUCAUCAGGAUGCAGCAGUCAGGUCUUUGCCUUGGUUUCCCUAUAUAUAAAAUGAAGGGCGGGCAGGGCAGACCCUGCCCUGUAGGGCUACUGUGUCAAGUGAGCUUCUCUCCACACCCCUGGCUUGCCUCCCUUGAAGCUGUUAGCAACUCCUCCAGUCUCUUCUGCUGAGAAGAAAAGGCAGUGGCGUUGACACCAAGGUCUCCAGGGUGGGAGACAACUUGCACCCACACCUAUGGCUUCAAAUUCAUCAGAAGAGGUGCUAAGCCGCCAGCAUUUGCAGCUGGUUCCUGACACCUUCCUGUCCCCCUCAGGAGCAGGGUUGUCACUCAGAGCAAUUAUGUUCCCAGCAACAAGUUCCACCUGCUGCUUUUCCCACCACUGACAGGAGCUGUGACCACAGAACAGGAGCCUGAGACUUCUCUUUGCUGAGUACAGAGAGCUGUUGA